CAAUAGCAUAUAUGAAUGUUGUUGCAGUUAAAACGCUCGUAGUCGAUAAUGUCAGCCACUCUAGUUUAUUCUAGCGAUUGGCAGGACCAGAUAUCACGAUAUAAGAGGGCUCCUCGUCGAGUCUUGGUUGACAGAUGAAUUUUCAACUCAAAAAUUCAGAGUCAUUACCUUGAAUGAAACAGAGUUCUCAAAGCAGUGCUUUGGCACAGUGAAUGAUCAAGCAUGGGAUAAUACAUACCACUAUAUGUGUUGGUACUUCUCACCAAAACUACAAGUGAUUAAUAGGAACAGUUGAGGGCUCUAGUACUGAAUGGCGAGAGGUGAAAUUCUUAGACCCAUUCAAGACUACCUAAGGCGAAAGCAUUUGCCAAGGAUGUUUUCUUUGA
Molecule: ribosomal RNA, 386 nt
Filed under: uncultured eukaryote
Lineage: Eukaryota
Description: partial 18S ribosomal RNA
Rfam family: Eukaryotic small subunit ribosomal RNA
Source: RNAcentral